CACAGUUGAGUCAUGCUCAAGAUUAUGAAGAGCAGUCUUUUCUCAUUACUUCAUCUUCCUUGAGAACACUACUGGCUGUGAUCUUUUUAUAGUUGGGAGGAAGAUGGCUCAGCCUUACAUAGUAGCUCCAAGACACCAUCUGUGUCCCAGAAAUUUCUCCUUUGGAAAAAAUUGAAUAAAUAUAUAGCAGGAAAUUCCCGCUUCCUCUACAGAGCCUAUAUUUCCCUCAGUCCUGGAACCUCUAGAUUGGGGCUUACUUUCCUGCAUGCUUCUCUCAAUUCAUACCAAAUGAUAUUGCAUCUGCCGAUCACAACCUAAUCAAUGCAACGAGUACCACCUCAGCAUGCUUCACUUCAGACUGUGUCCAGAGAUGUCAGGCAUGGAAUGUCAACCCUUCAGCCUCAUUACUCAGAAAGAGGGAAAGAAAGAGGCAGAAGAAGAGACACCACAGCACCAGAGCAGCAUCUUCUAGUGCCAUAACAUCUCCCAUGUGGUUUGAGAAUCAAGCCGGAAUCAAGUGCACAUGCUGCAAGUGAUUUUCUUUCUCUUUCCCUAUCACUGCCUUCCUUUUUUUUUUUUUUUUCUUAACUUGUCAUUGGAUAGAGACAAAGAGAAAUUAACAAGUGUUAGGAAGACAAAGAAAGGGAAAGAGACAGAGGGACACCUGCAUCCCUGAUGCACCACUUGUAAACUUUCCCCCUGCAGGUGGGGACCAGGGGCUUGAACCUGGAUCCUUGCUUGUUGCAAUGUGUGCACUUAAACAGGUGCACCACCACUUGUCUCCUUAUAUUCCCCUUCCUUAUAGAUUUUUGUCUGUCUCUAUAUAAUAAAUUAAAAAAUGUUUGAUUAUAGUGUUACAUAGAUUUCACAUGC
Molecule: long non-coding RNA, 873 nt
Organism: Erinaceus europaeus (western European hedgehog)
Lineage: Eukaryota; Metazoa; Chordata; Mammalia; Eulipotyphla; Erinaceidae
Exons: 5
Source: RefSeq, a predicted model, not a curated record